This 392-nucleotide ribosomal RNA is filed under the name uncultured bacterium. RNAcentral describes it as "bacterial SSU rRNA". It matches the Rfam family "Bacterial small subunit ribosomal RNA", at positions 37 to 433 of the family's 1533-position model. The record is from RNAcentral.
UGGCGGGAUGGCUUACACAUGCAAGUCGAACGGUAACAGGUCUUCGGAUGCUGACGAGUGGCGAACGGGUGAGUAACACAUCGGAACGUGCCCGAUCGUGGGGGAUAACGCAGCGAAAGCUGUGCUAAUACCGCAUACGAUCUACGGAUGAAAGCGGGGGAUCGCAAGACCUCGCGCGGACGGAGCGGCCGAUGGCAGAUUAGGUAGUUGGUGGGAUAAAAGCUUACCAAGCCGACGAUCUGUAGCUGGUCUGAGAGGACGACCAGCCACACUGGGACUGAGACACGGCCCAGACUCCUACGGGAGGCAGCAGUGGGGAAUUUUGGACAAUGGGCGCAAGCCUGAUCCAGCCAUGCCGCGUGCAGGAUGAAGGCCUUCGGGUUGUAAACUGC